Molecule: ribosomal RNA, 323 nt
Filed under: uncultured eukaryote
Lineage: Eukaryota
Description: partial 18S ribosomal RNA
Rfam family: Eukaryotic small subunit ribosomal RNA
Source: RNAcentral
CCCUUAGAUGUUCUGGGCCGCACGCGCGCUACACUGAUGCAUGCAACGAGUUCUAUCCUUGGCCGGAAGGCCUGGGUAAUCUGUGAACGUGCAUCGUGAUAGGGAUAGAUUAUUGCAAUUAUUAAUCUUGAACGAGGAAUUCCUAGUAAACGCAAGUCAUCAGCUUGCAUUGAUUACGUCCCUGCCCUUUGUACACACCGCCCGUCGCACCUACCGAUCGAAGGUAAUGAUGAGCCCUCAGGAUUGUGGCCUCGUCGCGUCAGCGUCUUGGCUGCGAGAAUCUGUUCAAAUCCCUACCUUUAGAGGAAGGUGAAGUCGUAACA